UACGUAGGGGGCAAGCGUUGUCCGGAUUUAUUGGGCGUAAAGAGCGUGUAGGCGGCCAUACAGGUCCGUUGUGAAAACUCGAGGCUCAACCUCGAGACGUCGAUGGAAACCGUAUGGCUAGAGUCCGGAAGAGGAGAGUGGAAUUCCUGGUGUAGCGGUGAAAUGCGCAGAUAUCAGGAAGAACACCAGUGGCGAAGGCGGCUCACUGGCCCGGUACUGACGCUGAGGCGCGAAAGCGUGGGGAGCAAACAGG
Molecule: ribosomal RNA, 253 nt
Filed under: uncultured bacterium
Lineage: Bacteria
Description: partial 16S ribosomal RNA
Rfam family: Bacterial small subunit ribosomal RNA
Source: RNAcentral